This 425-nucleotide unclassified non-coding RNA is filed under the name soil metagenome. RNAcentral describes it as "partial contains 5.8S ribosomal RNA, internal transcribed spacer 2, and large subunit ribosomal RNA". The stretch from base 1 to 120 matches the Rfam family "5.8S ribosomal RNA", at positions 35 to 154 of the family's 154-position model. The record is from RNAcentral.
GAUGAAGAACGUAGCGAAACGCGAUAGGUAAUGUGAAUUGCAGAAUUCCGUGAAUCAUCGAAUCUUUGAACGCACAUUGCGCCUUCUGGUAUUCCGGAAGGCAUGCCUGUUCGAGAGUCAUUAACAACCGUUUCGAUCCCUUUCUUUCAGAAAUUACAAAGAGGAAAAGGGUUUGGUUAUGGUGGAGGAGGGAAAGGGAGCGUUUAGCCUGUAAAAAAAGAGGCUGUGUUCCGCCUCCCCCCCAAAAUUGUACAGGCGGUCGUGUGCGCCCACGCAUCGAGGUGUUGUAAAAGCUGCCACGGCACUUUUCACCUGUGCAGUGCGAGAUUGGCCAGCCGGUUUAAAAACCCCUCCAAACAAUCAAAGGUUGACCUCGGAUCAGGUAGGGAUACCCGCUGAACUUAAGCAUAUCAAUAAGCGGAGGA